RNAcentral lists this unclassified non-coding RNA (5048 nucleotides) under Hevea brasiliensis (rubber tree). The record is from RNAcentral. Lineage: Eukaryota; Viridiplantae; Streptophyta; Magnoliopsida; Malpighiales; Euphorbiaceae.
CGUGACAAAGUUGGUAUCAGAGCUCGGUUGAGGUCUAGUAAACUUGCGGAGCAUAGGAUCCUUAACGUCUUUUCAGUUUAUCAUUGCUUUAGAUAUCUGCGUCCUUCAUACUUUUUCACCUGUCUUAAUUUGGCUCACAUUUUCAAAUUUAAUGCUUGUUUAUUAAAAUGAAUAGGUGCCUGGGUCUGUUAGACGUAAGAGGAGAACUAGGACCAAGGGUCUUAAUGGUACAAACCUUGAUCCAACAGGGGAGGUACCACCUCAAACUAUUAAUCAGACAUCUGAACAGACGCCUAUGGCUAAGACUGGGGCACAACCAUUCCAAUUAGCUACUGCAGCUCAAGCACCUAGGGCUGGUCAAGUUACUGUGGCAGAUCUGGCAGCGGGUUUGCAUGCAGUGAAUCGUGCCGUUAAUACUAUAGCUGAGUACCUUACAACUCAACCACAGCAACCAGUGGUUGGCUCUACUUCAGUACCAGCUCAGGAUAGAGCUCGAUUCCUUGACUCUACAGACUUUCUCAAGCUAAAACCAAAGGAGUUCACUGGAGAGGAUGCAUUAGCUGAUCCCUUAGAUUUUCUAGAUGACAUGGAGAGGUGUUAUGACACUAUGGGUUGCAGUAGUGCUAGGAUGGUGAUGUUGGCAGGAAAUCAGUUUAAGGGAGUUGCUCGUGAGUGGUAUAUCUCUAAGAAGAAUGGGCGACCUGAAGGUUCUAUCCUCUGGCCUGAAUUUCAUUCUCUCUUCUUGGAGCGAUUUCUCCCUCCUAGUGUUCAAGAGGCUAAGGCUUUGGAGUUUGAAACCUUGAAGCAAGGUAAAAUGGCAGUUACAGAGUAUGAGAUGAAGUUUACCAAAUUAUCCCGUUUUGGUAAACACUUGAUUCCAAAUGAGGAGAAGAAGGCUCGCAGGUUUGAAAGGGGCUUACGAGACAGGCUAAUUGAUCGUGUAGCUCAUUUACGACUACCUAAAUAUGAGGAGGUGGUUGAUCGGGCUAGACAGAUGGAGAUGUAUGAUGAUGAACGUUGGGCUCGUGAGCAGCGCAAGCGGUUUAAGAAAGAUAGUCAAGGUAAUCAAUUUAACAGAGGACAGAGUCAUCAAGGUUCUUAUCAGGAUAAUAAGCAGGGUUCUCAGUCUACAGUUGGCAAUAGGGCACAUCAAUCUGGAGUUGGUCAGGGACGUGACCAAAGGACACAUGCAGGGAAUGCUCGGUAUAACCAGAUUAGCACUGAGCCUAUUACCACUCUUUGUCAUCAUUGUGGUAAGCCACAUAAGGGCACUUGUCAUUGGGUCACUGGAGCAUGCUUUGGUUGUGGACAGCUGGGACACCGUAGACAGGACUGUCCUACUAGUGAGACAACUCAGGGUGCUGGUCAAGCAACACAUUCUACUCCCUCUCAGGCUCAACCAGUUUCACAGUAUAGUGGUAGAAGUCAGGGUUUUGGUGGUCGCGGUCAGGGUGGUAGAGGUUCUGGUGGUAGAGGAUUUGUUCAAACUCAGGGACAGACAUUUGGUGGUAGAGGUCAAGUUAGAGUUUUUGCUUUGACUCAGCAGGAUGCUCAGGCAUCUAAUGCAGUAGUGACAGGUACACUUCCUAUUUGCUCAUUUGAUGCUAGAGUACUGUUUGAUCCUGGUUCCAGUCAUUCCUUUGUUUUUCUAUACUUUUCCAUGAGAUUUUGUACACCACCUACUUUGUUAAGAGUAUCCUUUAUCUGUAUCAAUACAUAUGGGGGAUGCAGUAGACACUGAUAUGGUGUAUAGGGGAUGUAUAGUUCACAUUGGAGAUAGGGAAUUAGCUGCAGAUCUUGUUUCUUUGGAUAUGUUUGAGUUUGAUGUGAUUUUAGGCAUGGAUUGGUUAGCCACUUAUCACGUUUCAUUGGAUUGUCAUAAUAAAGUUGUACUCUUUAAAAUUCCUGGGGAGGCAGAAUUUCAAUUUCAGGGAGAUCGCAGUAUGGCCUCUAGUAAUCUUAUCUCUGUAGUGAGUGCUAGACGAUUAUUGCGAAAGAGGUGUAAAGGGUAUCUAGCUUAUGUUAGAGAUGUUCAGGUAGAAGGUGCAGGUUUGGAGAAAGUUGCAGUGGUUAAAGAGUUUCCUGAUGUGUUUCCAGAAGAUUUAUCGGAUUUACCCCCGGAGUGAGAGGUAGAGUUUGGUAUAGACUUAGUUCCUGGAACCGAGCCCAUAUCUAUGCCACCUUAUCGUAUGGCACCCGCAGAACUUAAGGAGUUGAAGGAGCAACUACAGGACCUACUAGAUAAGGGGUUUAUUCGCCCUAGUGUUUCUCCAUGGGGUGCUCCUGUGUUAUUUGUACGGAAGAAGGAUGGGUCUUUGAGAAUGUGCAUUGAUUAUAGGCAAUUGAAUAAGGUAACUGUGCGUAAUAAGUAUCCUCUUCCACGCAUAGAUGACCUGUUUGACCAACUUCAAGGUGCAAAGUAUUUUUCCAAGAUUGAUCUUCGAUCUGGGUAUCAUCAAUUGAGGGUCAAGAAAGAAGACAUACUCAAGACGGCCUUUAGGACUAGGUAUGGACACUAUGAAUUUCUUGUAAUGUCUUUUGGUCUUACCAAUGCUCCGGCCGCUUUUAUGGAUCUCAUGAACAGAGUUUUCAAGCCUUUCUUAGAUCAAUUUGUUAUAGUGUUCAUCGAUGACAUUCUAGUGUACUCAAAGAGUAAGGAGGAGCAUGAGCAGCAUUUGAGAAUUGUCCUUCAGACCUUACGAGAACACAAGCUAUAUGCCAAGUUCUCAAAAUGUGAGUUUUGGUUAGAUAGUGUGGCUUUCCUAGGCCAUACAGUAUCUAAGGAUGGGGUGUGCGUUGAUAAGAAGAAAGUUGAGGCAGUGCUUCAUUGGCCUAGACCCACAACUGUGUCAGAGAUUCGUAGUUUCUUGGGUUUAGCAGGGUAUUAUAGACGGUUUGUUCAAGACUUCUCUCGUAUUGCAGCACCUUUAACUAAGUUGACACAGAAGAAUGUGAAAUUUCAGUGGUCUGAGGCUUGUGAAAAAAGUUUUCAGGAGCUUAAGACUCGUUUAACUACAACACCAGUGUUAGCCCUUCCAUCUGGAUCAGGGGGUUAUGUAGUAUAUUGUGAUGCUUCUAGGAUUGGUUUAGGAUGUGUUUUGAUGCAGCAUGGACGGAUUAUUGCAUAUGCUUCUCGUCAGUUGAAAAGGCACGAGCAGAAUUAUCCAACUCAUGAUUUGGAAAUGGCUGCAGUAAUUUUUGCUUUGAAAAUCUGGAGGCACUAUCUGUAUGGUGAGACUUGUGAAAUCUUCACUGACCACAAAAGUCUCAAAUACAUCUUUGACCAACGUGAUCUUAAUCUUAGGCAAAGGAGAUGGGUAGAAUUGCUGAAGGAUUAUGAUUGCACCAUACAGUAUCACCCUGGAAAAGCUAAUGUAGUGGCUGAUGCUCUAAGCAGGAAGUCUUCUGGUAGUUUAGCCCAUAUAUCUACCAAGAUGAGGCCUUUGAUUGGUGAAUUACAUGAGUUGCUAGAUCAGGGCGUAGAGUUUGAAAUCAUAGCUGGAUCAUUCUUAGCACAUUUUCGAGUUAGGCCUAUCUUGAUUGAUCGAAUUAAGGUUGCCCAAAAGAGGGAUUCUCAGCUGUGUGAGAUUAUAGAUAAUAUUCAUCAAGGACAAGCUCAAGGAUUCAUAUUGAAUGAUGAUGGAGUUCUUCGUUAUGGCACUAGACUUUGUGUCCCCAAUGUUGAUGAGUUGAGAAGAGAAAUCAUGGAGGAGGCACACCAUUCUGCUUACACAGUACACCCAGGUUCAACUAAGAUGUACCGUGAUUUAAGGGAGCAUUAUUGGUGGGGUGGCAUGAAGAGGGAUGUUGCAGACUUUGUUGCUAAAUGUUUGACUUGUCAGCAGGUUAAGGCAGAACAUCAGAGACCAUCUGGGUUACUUCAGCCAUUGCCUAUUCCCGAGUGGAAGUGGGAGCAUAUUGCCAUGGACUUUGUUGUGGGUUUACCUAGUACACGAGGUGGUUACAAUGCAAUCUGGGUGAUAGUGGACAGAUUGACAAAAUCUGCUCAUUUCCUUCCUGUGAAGACUACAUAUGACUUUGCUAAACUUGCACAGUUGUAUAUAAACAAGAUUGUUAGUCUUCAUGGAGUUCCAGUUUCCAUUGUCUCUGAUCGUGGUACUCAGUUUACUUCUCGAUUUUGGAAGAAAUUCCAAGAAGCUUUAGGAACACGAGUAGACUUUAGUACUGCUUUUCACCCUCAGACGGAUGGACAGUCAGAAAGGACCAUACAGACAUUAGAGGACAUGCUUCGUGCAUGCGUUAUGGAUUUUGGUGGCUGUUGGGAUCAUCAUUUGCCUUUAGUGGAGUUUGCUUAUAAUAACAGUUAUCAGGCAAGUAUAGAGAUGGCUCCAUAUGAGGCAUUAUAUGGUCGAAAGUGUAGGUCACCGGUUUGUUGGGAUGAAGUUGGAGAAAGAAGGCUUACUAGACCAGAGUUGAUACAAUUAACUUCAGAGAAGGUUCGACUAAUUCGUGAUCGACUUUUGACUGCUCAAAGUCGACAGAGAAGUUAUGUUGACCCUAAGCAUAAAGAUGUACAAUUUAUGAUUGGUGAUCAUGUAUUUCUGAGAGUUUCCCCUAUGAAAGGAAUCAUGAGGUUUGGGAAGAAAGGGAAGCUUAGCCCUCGUUUUGUUGGUCCAUUUGAAAUUUUGGAGAGAAUUGGAGCAGUUGCUUACCGUUUAGCCCUUCCACCUGGUUUUGCACAUGUACAUCCAGUUUUCCAUAUUUCUAUGCUUAGGAAGUAUGUACCAGAUCCAUCUCAUGUUUUACAACCUCAAACCAUGCAAUUUAGGGAUGAUAUGUCAUAUGAGGAGCAACCAGUAAAGAUUUUAGAUCGACAAAUUAGGAAACUCCGGUCUAAGGAAGUGGCUUUGGUCAAAGUCUUGUGGCAUAAUCACUCAAGUAGUGAGGCCACAUGGGAGGCAGAAUCUGAAAUGCGAGCCAAAUAUCCUCACUUAUUUGAUUCUUCAGGUUAGAAUUUUGUCUAUUCAAAUUCGGGGACCGAAUUUUUUUUAAGGGGGGAAGUAUGUGAAAACCCAUAUACAUUUAUU